RNAcentral lists this ribosomal RNA (1002 nucleotides) under Triticum aestivum (bread wheat). RNAcentral's name for it is "partial small subunit ribosomal RNA". Lineage: Eukaryota; Viridiplantae; Streptophyta; Magnoliopsida; Poales; Poaceae. The record is from RNAcentral.
AUGCAGCACCAAUGGCAGCAAAGCUCAAGAUUUUUCUCUCUAUCCUUGUUUAUCUUGUCAGAUUACACACCAAAUGGAUUCCAUGUGACACCUCCUUCUGCCUUAAGUAGCCACCUCCCCCUCUUCUAUCAAGUCAUCUCCACACUCACUCAUCUCUUAGAGAACCCAUACAGCACAGCGGACACUUUUCUUAGCUUUCCAAUGGCGGCAGCCACCAUGUCCCUCUCCUCCUCGACCUUUGCCGGCAAGGCGGUGAAGAAUGUACCAUCUUUAGCUCUCUUUGGCGAGGCCCGAGUCACCAUGCGCAAGACCGCUGCAAAGGCGAAGCAGGUUUCCUCCGGCAGCCCAUGGUACGGUGCCGACCGUGUGCUCUACCUCGGCCCACUCUCCGGUGAGCCCCCGAGCUACCUGACCGGUGAGUUUCCUGGCGACUAUGGGUGGGACACUGCCGGGCUUUCUGCUGACCCCGAGACUUUCGCCAAGAACCGGGAGCUGGAGGUGAUCCAUUGCCGCUGGGCCAUGCUCGGGGCACUUGGUUGUGUCUUCCCUGAGUUGCUCGCCCGCAACGGCGUCAACUUCGGUGAGGCUGUUUGGUUCAAGGCGGGCUCUCAAAUAUUUAGUGAGGGUGGUCUCGACUACCUCGGCAACCCCAGCCUCAUCCACGCACAAAGCAUCCUUGCUAUUUGGGCAUGCCAGGUCGUGCUCAUGGGUGCCGUCGAGGGGUAUCGCGUUGCUGGCGGCCCACUCGGUGAGAUCGUCGACCCACUCUACCCAGGCGGCAGCUUCGACCCUCUUGGCUUGGCCGAAGACCCCGAGGCAUUCGCCGAGCUCAAGGUGAAGGAGAUCAAGAACGGUCGCCUUGCCAUGUUCUCAAUGUUUGGCUUCUUUGUCCAAGCUAUCGUCACGGGCAAAGGCCCACUUGAGAACCUCGCGGACCACAUCGCCGACCCCGUCAACAACAAUGCAUGGGCAUUUGCCACCAACUUUGUCCCCGGCAAGUAA